GCUCUCCUCAAGAAAGCUAAGGAUUUCUGCACUGAACAUGAGAUAGUUGCUGAGACUAUGACACAAAUGGGAGAUCCCAAGGA
Capsicum annuum is the source of this 83-nucleotide long non-coding RNA. RefSeq lists it as uncharacterized. The record is from RefSeq and is a predicted model, not a curated record. Lineage: Eukaryota; Viridiplantae; Streptophyta; Magnoliopsida; Solanales; Solanaceae. The transcript is spliced from 2 exons.